UAGUACAGUCUCGUAGGUGACCUGCGGAGGGAUCAUUACACAAAUAUGAAGGCGGGCUGGAACCUCUCGGGGUUACAGCCUUGCUGAAUUAUUCACCCUUGUCUUUUGCGUACUUCUUGUUUCCUUGGUGGGUUCGCCCACCACUAGGACAAACAUAAACCUUUUGUAAUUGCAAUCAGCGUCAGUAACAAAUUAAUAAUUACAACUUUCAACAACGGAUCUCUUGGUUCUGGCAUCGAUGAAGAACGCAGCGAAAUGCGAUAAGUAGUGUGAAUUGCAGAAUUCAGUGAAUCAUCGAAUCUUUGAACGCACAUUGCGCCCUUUGGUAUUCCAAAGGGCAUGCCUGUUCGAGCGUCAUUUGUACCCUCAAGCUUUGCUUGGUGUUGGGCGUCUUGUCUCUAGCUUUGCUGGAGACUCGCCUUAAAGUAAUUGGCAGCCGGCCUACUGGUUUCGGAGCGCAGCACAAGUCGCACUCUCUAUCAGCAAAGGUCUAGCAUCCAUUAAGCCUUUUUUUCAACUUUUGACCUCGGAUCAGGUAGGGAUACCCGCUGAACUUAAGCAUAUCAAUAAGCGGAGGAA
RNAcentral lists this ribosomal RNA (579 nucleotides) under Alternaria alternata. Its description in RNAcentral is "eukaryotic LSU rRNA". The stretch from base 204 to 357 matches the Rfam family "5.8S ribosomal RNA". Lineage: Eukaryota; Fungi; Ascomycota; Dothideomycetes; Pleosporales; Pleosporaceae. The record is from RNAcentral.